This 601-nucleotide ribosomal RNA is filed under the name uncultured Trichoderma. RNAcentral describes it as "eukaryotic LSU rRNA". The stretch from base 217 to 370 matches the Rfam family "5.8S ribosomal RNA". The record is from RNAcentral. Lineage: Eukaryota; Fungi; Ascomycota; Sordariomycetes; Hypocreales; Hypocreaceae.
AGCGGAGGGAUCGUUACCGAGUUUACAACUCCCAAACCCAAUGUGAACGUUACCAAACUGUUGCCUCGGCGGGAUCUCUGCCCCGGGUGCGUCGCAGCCCCGGACCAAGGCGCCCGCCGGAGGACCAACCAAAACUCUUAUUGUAUACCCCCUCGCGGGUUUUUUACUAUCUGAGCCAUCUCGGCGCCCCUCGUGGGCGUUUCGAAAAUGAAUCAAAACUUUCAACAACGGAUCUCUUGGUUCUGGCAUCGAUGAAGAACGCAGCGAAAUGCGAUAAGUAAUGUGAAUUGCAGAAUUCAGUGAAUCAUCGAAUCUUUGAACGCACAUUGCGCCCGCCAGUAUUCUGGCGGGCAUGCCUGUCCGAGCGUCAUUUCAACCCUCGAACCCCUCCGGGGGGUCGGCGUUGGGGAUCGGCCCUUUACGGGGCCGGCCCCGAAAUACAGUGGCGGUCUCGCCGCAGCCUCUCCUGCGCAGUAGUUUGCACACUCGCAUCGGGAGCGCGGCGCGUCCACAGCCGUUAAACACCCCAAACUUCUGAAAUGUUGACCUCGGAUCAGGUAGGAAUACCCGCUGAACUUAAGCAUAUCAAUAAGCGGAGGAA